Molecule: ribosomal RNA, 1461 nt
Filed under: Salmonella enterica
Lineage: Bacteria; Pseudomonadati; Pseudomonadota; Gammaproteobacteria; Enterobacterales; Enterobacteriaceae
Description: partial 23S ribosomal RNA
Rfam family: Bacterial large subunit ribosomal RNA
Source: RNAcentral
AGACCCGAAACCCGGUGAUCUAGCCAUGGGCAGGUUGAAGGUUGGGUAACACUAACUGGAGGACCGAACCGACUAAUGUUGAAAAAUUAGCGGAUGACCUGUGGCUGGGGGUGAAAGGCCAAUCAAACCGGGAGAUAGCUGGUUCUCCCCGAAAGCUAUUUAGGUAGCGCCUCGUGAAUUCAUCUCCGGGGGUAGAGCACUGUUUCGGCUAGGGGGCCAUCCCGGCUUACCAACCCGAUGCAAACUGCGAAUACCGGAGAAUGUUAUCACGGGAGACACACGGCGGGUGCUAACGUCCGUCGUGAAGAGGGAAACAACCCAGACCGCCAGCUAAGGUCCCAAAGUCAUGGUUAAGUGGGAAACGAUGUGGGAAGGCCCAGACAGCCAGGAUGUUGGCUUAGAAGCAGCCAUCAUUUAAAGAAAGCGUAAUAGCUCACUGGUCGAGUCGGCCUGCGCGGAAGAUGUAACGGGGCUAAACCAUGCACCGAAGCUGCGGCAGCGACACUGUGUGUUGUUGGGUAGGGGAGCGUUCUGUAAGCCUGUGAAGGUGUGUCGUGAGGCAUGCUGGAGGUAUCAGAAGUGCGAAUGCUGACAUAAGUAACGAUAAAGCGGGUGAAAAGCCCGCUCGCCGGAAGACCAAGGGUUCCUGUCCAACGUUAAUCGGGGCAGGGUGAGUCGACCCCUAAGGCGAGGCCGAAAGGCGUAGUCGAUGGGAAACGGGUUAAUAUUCCCGUACUUGGUGUUACUGCGAAGGGGGGACGGAGAAGGCUAUGUUGGCCGGGCGACGGUUGUCCCGGUUUAAGCGUGUAGGUGUGUGUUCCAGGUAAAUCCGGUUCACUUUAACACUGAGGCGUGACGACGAGGCACUACGGUGCUGAAGCAACAAAUGCCCUGCUUCCAGGAAAAGCCUCUAAGCAUCAGGUAACAUCAAAUCGUACCCCAAACCGACACAGGUGGUCAGGUAGAGAAUACCAAGGCGCUUGAGAGAACUCGGGUGAAGGAACUAGGCAAAAUGGUGCCGUAACUUCGGGAGAAGGCACGCUGACACGUAGGUGAAGUGAUUUACUCAUGGAGCUGAAGUCAGUCGAAGAUACCAGCUGGCUGCAACUGUUUAUUAAAAACACAGCACUGUGCAAACACGAAAGUGGACGUAUACGGUGUGACGCCUGCCCGGUGCCGGAAGGUUAAUUGAUGGGGUCAGCGCAAGCGAAGCUCCUGAUCGAAGCCCCGGUAAACGGCGGCCGUAACUAUAACGGUCCUAAGGUAGCGAAAUUCCUUGUCGGGUAAGUUCCGACCUGCACGAAUGGCGUAAUGAUGGCCAGGCUGUCUCCACCCGAGACUCAGUGAAAUUGAACUCGCUGUGAAGAUGCAGUGUACCCGCGGCAAGACGGAAAGACCCCGUGAACCUUUACUAUAGCUUGACACUGAACAUUGAGCCUUGAUGUGUAGGAUAGGUGGGAG